Molecule: ribosomal RNA, 687 nt
Filed under: uncultured bacterium
Lineage: Bacteria
Description: bacterial SSU rRNA
Rfam family: Bacterial small subunit ribosomal RNA
Source: RNAcentral
GCGCACAGCUUCGCAUGAAGCAGUGUGAAAAACUCCGGUGGUACAAGAUGGACCCGCGUCUGAUUAGCUGGUUGGUGAGGUAACGGCCCACCAAGGCGACGAUCAGUAGCCGGCCUGAGAGGGUGAACGGCCACAUUGGGACUGAGACACGGCCCAAACUCCUACGGGAGGCAGCAGUGGGGAAUAUUGCACAAUGGGGGAAACCCUGAUGCAGCAACGCCGCGUGAGUGAAGAAGUAUUUCGGUAUGUAAAGCUCUAUCAGCAGGAAAGAAAAUGACGGUACCUGACUAAGAAGCCCCGGCUAACUACGUGCCAGCAGCCGCGGUAAUACGUAGGGGGCAAGCGUUAUCCGGAUUUACUGGGUGUAAAGGGAGCGUAGACGGUUUUGCAAGUCUGAAGUGAAAGCCCGGGGCUUAACCCCGGGACUGCUUUGGAAACUGUAGGACUAGAGUGCAGGAGAGGUAAGUGGAAUUCCUAGUGUAGCGGUGAAAUGCGUAGAUAUUAGGAGGAACACCAGUGGCGAAGGCGGCUUACUGGACUGUAACUGACGUUGAGGCUCGAAAGCGUGGGGAGCAAACAGGAUUAGAUACCCUGGUAGUCCACGCCGUAAACGAUGAUUACUAGGUGUUGGUGGGUAUGACCCAUCGGUGCCGCAGCAAACGCAAUAAGUAAUCCACCUGGGGAGUA